RNAcentral lists this long non-coding RNA (636 nucleotides) under Anser brachyrhynchus (Pink-footed goose). RNAcentral's name for it is "lncRNA (ENSABRG00000004952.1)". The record is from RNAcentral. Lineage: Eukaryota; Metazoa; Chordata; Aves; Anseriformes; Anatidae.
UCCAUUUUGAUCAGUAAAUAAUCUUGUAGGAUUUUUAGAUCCUGUUUUACCUCCUGCACAGUAUUUUUAUCAGGAAAGACCUUUCAUUUCACCUCUUAGAAGUCAGCACUGUCUUUAGCCUUAUCCAGGUAUUUGAUAGUUCAUACAUGUUCUGUGUGCUUUCAAAGUACUAUCGAUGACUCAGAGUUUCUGUCAACCAGUUCUUUACAUAUGCUGCGACAUCCACCAAGAUCAGAUGAUUUGAAAACAUAUUCCUGCUGUUUAAUUUCCUUUGUAGUUUUCAGAAUGGUUUGAGAGUUUUAAUGACCCUACAAAAUCACUAAUGUCAAAACAUGUCAUUAAGAUGUAGAAGAAAAAUGAAGAAGAGCUCAUACAGUAGAAACUAAUGUGGGGGCAGCACAAGGAGACCAUGAACCUUACAGCACCAGUGGGCCUGUUGGCAUGAACUUGGAUUAAAAGAUGAGACAAAUGAUGAAAUGUAUGAAAUCUCUCAUACCUGUUUCCUAGACAAAUCUUGAGAAAAAUCUAUGUCUAGUUCUAAUCUGAUCUACCUGAAAUCCAUUUCCUUCCCCAAAUAUUCUGGGAACUCUGCUUUUAAAGAACAACAGACUUCUUUCCCUGCUGAUUAGAUAACCC